Non-coding RNA from Malus domestica (apple), 1229 nucleotides. NCBI's taxonomy places the organism in Eukaryota, Viridiplantae, Streptophyta, Magnoliopsida, Rosales, Rosaceae. The record is from RefSeq and is a predicted model, not a curated record.
UAACAAACAUUAGGAAGGGGCAAGGGAAAAUAAGGAUAGAAAGCUUGAUGGUGGUAACUGACAAAGUAAUGAGAGGAGAGGGUGGCACCGUAGCAGCAAAGGAAAGGGCAAGGGAUACAAAGAAUUGAAUAGCAAGAGGCAACAACAGAUACAGAUGCAGUGCAUCAAAAUUCAUUCCGUUUCCUUAAACAGCUUUAUCUCUUUCUUUUUAUUCUAACACCAACACGCCAAGCCAUUGUUCAUCCAGUCCAAUCCAAUCCAACCCAACCCAACCCAACCCAACCCAACCCGAUCCAACCGAUCCAUCUUCUUCUUGUUUUAAUUUCUGAAACUCAAACUCAAGCCUUUGUUUCUUGCUUCUGCUGCUGCUGAGAAAUUUUCAAUCAGUGAUUCAUUCAGAGUAUCCCAAGUGUUCAGAUCCUCCCGGGACAGCACGAAGCGAGCGAACCGGAUCGACGGAAUUGUCGCCUGCAUUCUGCAUUGCAUUGCAUUGCUUGCCUCUUGUUGACAUUACAGUUGGAAGAGAUUUGUUUGUAUACAACCAGCAUUCGUCAAGCCUUGGAGGUAUUGAGCUUUAGGGAGAUAAUUAGGUCUGUUUGACAGAUAAUUUCCUUCAUUUCGGUGCUGUGAUUUCAUCUGUGGGGGACCAACGCAUCAGUAAAUGAAUUUUGAUGUUCCUGAAGCAGAUCGCUCAAGACUAGUACUGCUACAGGGUUUUAUUCAUUUGCCAGAUCGCUCGUCAACAAGUUGCGCCAUGGAGAUGAAAACAAAAAACAUUUCUGGUGCCCAAACCCUAGAUCACUCCCAAGGGGAUCAAGGAACGAAGGUAGAGUAUUAUCAUCAGAUUCAGAGACAAGGAAAGGCAAUAGAAUAUCGGCAAACACUAUCUCACGGUGGAGGGGCUGUCAGAAGAAUGCUGCCGGCCAGCUACUUUAGCUUGGAGUCGUUGCUUUUGCUUGUAUGCCUCGCGGCGACUCUGCUCAUCCUUCCUUUGAUAGUUCCGCCGCUACCUCCCCCGCCUUUCAUGCUGCUGUUGCUUCCCAUUGGCAUUCUGGGCGUGCUUAUGAUCUUGGCUUUCAUGCCGUCGAAUGUGAGGGAUUUAACUUAUACAUACGUCUAGCUAAGUAAAAUCGUUUGUCUCGAAGACUUAGAUCUUCACUGUCAUCAUACAAUUUUUGUACUAAACCCAGAUGUUCAAUACAAGAAACAACACUCGUUUUUAUUUCUUU